This 721-nucleotide ribosomal RNA is filed under the name uncultured Nitrososphaerota archaeon. RNAcentral describes it as "bacterial SSU rRNA". It matches the Rfam family "Archaeal small subunit ribosomal RNA", at positions 8 to 737 of the family's 1478-position model. The record is from RNAcentral. Lineage: Archaea; Thermoproteati; Nitrososphaerota.
UUGAUCCUGCCGGACCCGACUGCUAUCAGAGUGAGAUUAAGCCAUGCGAGUUAACGUAGCAAUACGUGGCGCACGGCUCAGUAACACGUAGUCAACAUGCCCAGGGGACGUGGAUAACCUCGGGAAACUGAGUCUAAACCGCGAUAUGUCAGGAUUUCUGGAAUGGUUCCUGACUAAAAUCUAUAUGGCCUCUGGAUUGGACUGCGGCCGAUCAGGCUGUUGGUGAGGUAAUGGCCCACCAAACCUGUAACCGGUACGGGCUCUGAGAGGAGGAGCCCGGAGAUGGGCACUGAGACAAGGGCCCAGGCCCUAUGGGGCGCAGCAGGCGCGAAACCUCUGCAAUAGGCGAAAGCCUGACAGGGUUACUCUGAGUGACUUUCGCUAAGAAAGUCUUUUGGCACCUCUAAAAAGGGUGCAGAAUAAGGGGUGGGCAAGUCUGGUGUCAGCCGCCGCGGUAAUACCAGCACCCCGAGUGGUCGGGACGAUUAUUGGGCCUAAAGCAUCCGUAGCCGGUUCUGCAAGUCCUCCGUUAAAUCCAGCUGCUCAACAGAUGGGCUGCGGAGGAUACUACAGAGCUAGGAGGCAGGAGAGGCAAGCGGUACUCAGUGGGUAGGGGUAAAAUCCGUUGAUCCAUUGAAGACCACCAGUGGCGAAGGCGGCUUGCCAGAAUGCGCUCGACGGUGAGGGAUGAAAGCUGGGGGAGCAAACCGGAUUAGAUACC